CCAUAAACAUACAGUCCAACAUAGAGAGGCUGAGUGAAUGUGGUCUGGACUCUGUGGAGGAGAGUCAUGGUUUCAGAGACACUGUAGAAGGACAGAAGACCUGCUCUGUGAUCCAGGUACACUCCUAUUCUGGAGGAUGGAGGACCUGAGACUGGAGUGAACAUAUUGUUGGAUGUAAUGGAAAAAUUUUACCUUAGUGCUGUUUCUUAUCCAACACACUCGUCAUGUGCUGGUUAGGUACAAUACUGAACGGAACAUUCUUACACAAACAACUUAUCUCUUGUGCCCUGACGUACAUCAAGUCUAAACAUCUGAUGUUCCAUUUGACUGACUAAUAAUUUAUGAUAUAUGUUUGUCUUUUACACCCGGACUCUGGCUCCAUCCUAUCUGACUCCCCACCAGACCCAAGGCUGUUAAAGCGAAUGCAUCUUGUCUUGGAAGCUCGGUGUUCCUUCCUUUGGAUAACAAGACAUGAUGAUGCAGAAGUGAGAAAGCAAACAUUCUCACUCACAGCGAGAUAAGGUGGCACAAACAAUUCCAUUGCUGCAGAGAGACAUUCCACCAGAGCCAGAGAAAGGGGUUAAAAGGCAGAGACAACUUGAGGAUCGUGGGCUCUUUGCAUCACACCUUCGUGGUGUGUGCACUGAUCUCCCCAGCUGGUUUUUGGUUUGUUGAUGUGCACGAUCAACAUCCAUGCUUUUUAUUUGCUUUCCCCAUUAUUUUUAUUUUCUUUAUUAUUUCAAUAAAUCGCACAAAAGGACAACUCUCUCUCAUCUACUUCUUUAUGGAAAAUUUCCAACACAGAAAUUGACGUCUACGAACAGGAUCCGCUGCAGGUCACCUGGACGGUGUGACCAGGGACGAUAGUCCUGAGGACUAGGGUCGCUCAGCUUCCAAACCUCUACAGACAUUCAGAGCUGGGAGGACUGCUCACCCGUCUGGAUCGCCUCUGACGAGAUCCAACGAACACAAAAUGCAACCUCUACUCGGCCCGAACUGAGCGCGAUGAGGGUAAAUCCGGAUCUGGACUCCUUUCCCACCAUCAGCAGAAGAACCGAGGGGGGAAGCGCCUGACCAACAACCAGAACAGGGUGGAAGCUCUGACACCACAGCAGCUGGAGGACACAGACCACAGCAUGGACGCCUCAGCGACUCCCACAACGUCUGCAGCCAUCACGUUCUGGGCUCAUCAGAUGAACCAGCUACUACAAGCGUGUGUGUCUGACAGACACCUGCUUAUGACAAUCAGCAAAGGAAAACAAGGACAGAGCAACAGCAGAGAAGACGUGCUCUGACACAGACACUGGUUGAAACAACAGGAGAGGCUUCAGACGUGAUCGGCCCAAUAGAGCUGCAUCUGAGGAUCCAGGAAAGGUCUGUCAUCGAAGAACAACUGUCCCAUCGAAAGGCUUCACCCGCUGGCGCUCACAUCAGACUGAUGGUUGGGGAAGGAGGAAGGUGACGGUUCCUUUUCACGUGACGUACAAGACGGUACCGCAAACACACACACACACAUUCAUACACGCAAUGAAGAAACACGCUUACAGCUGAUACACGCUCAAA
Molecule: long non-coding RNA, 1563 nt
Organism: Betta splendens (Siamese fighting fish)
Lineage: Eukaryota; Metazoa; Chordata; Actinopteri; Anabantiformes; Osphronemidae
Exons: 2
Source: RefSeq, a predicted model, not a curated record